Bactrocera oleae (olive fruit fly) is the source of this 1565-nucleotide non-coding RNA. Lineage: Eukaryota; Metazoa; Arthropoda; Insecta; Diptera; Tephritidae. The record is from RefSeq and is a predicted model, not a curated record.
AUAGACUGUUCUUCCAGUGCCUUAAACUCGAGUUUAUGGUUUUUUGGGUUUAAUUAUAAUUUUAUAGAUAUAUUUUAUAGAACAUUCCUUUUGCGCUUUAAACUCGAGUAAGCAUUAAGAAAGCAUGUUUCCAAUUUGACAUUUUGUCAGUUUUUGAUAAUAAAUUCUCACUUUAGUCAGAUAAGCAUUCAUACUCCCAAAUUUAGAAGCAAAACAACUUCAUACACACCACACAAUUGGGUUUAGGUCUCAGACAAAUAUGUUAAAGUCCAUUAUUGUAAGCAGGGUUAAAUGUUAAACACCGAAAUGAAAAUUAAACUAGAUUUUUUACUGCAACGGGAUUUUAUGUACCUUCAACUUCUCAAAUAAGGAAAAAUCAAACAAAUAAGUAAGUAUCAGUAUAAAAAAUUUAAAAUAUCUUUAUACUUGUAUACAAUCUUAUUCAUAACAUUCUAACAAACCUCGAAAAUCAUCGAAAAUCGAAAACUUUAUGACUUACGCCGUGAUAAAAGCGAAGAAUUACAAAAACGCUAAAAAUAAAUAAUUACUAAUUAAUAAUGAAAAUACAUUCAUACACAGCUUUCUAUAAACACCUUAAAUUUACCGCUAAGCCUAUCUACUCACUGAUAAGACGUAGCGACGUUUUCUACAUGUUUACAAAACACUGAAGGCUUUACGAUCUUUAUGAUUCACAAAGCUAAUAAAACGAUAAAUAAAGCUAAAUACAACAACAAUAAAUGUAUUAAUUAGAGCAACGGCAACUGAAUUAUGCUAAUUAGUUUAAAAAAUGAUAAUAUAUCAGACUAACGUCGCAAGGUAGCGCGGUCGGUAACUAAGAAACUGCUGAGAACAUAGAGAUUGAAAGAAAACAAAAAAAAAUAUGAAUAAAUAAAUAAUACAGUACAUUUUUCCAAAAAAUUAAAAUAAAAAAAAUGCUGUAGUUGAGGUUCUAGGCUAAUUUCACUAAAUAAAAACGUUUUGAGGUGUUUGUGUUGAAAUAAUACAUCUGCGAUCUUCAUUGCAUAAUACUAAAACAUAUGGAAGACAGGCAAAAAAAUCAUCACCUCAUCAGCGAACGACAGAUAUCAAACAAAAUGACAUAUCUAUUACUAUUUUAUAUAGCACACUACUGCAUAUACAUACAGUAGUACAUAAAUUAGUUGAUACCUAUUUAUUAGUAUGAACUUUUGUAAGCUUUAGAAAUCAGUUCAAAGCUAUGAGGUAAAAAAAGAAUUAUGCGCAUUUAGGGUGAAACACGCCAACAAAACGUGCUGCUACCGAAUCAUACCCGACUGCUGAACCGCCUGCUAUGAUAGCUAGGCAAAGAAAAAGAAGAGCAAAAUACACCAAAACGCUAUUUAUAAAUUAAACAGACAAGAAAUAUUAUUGUACAAGUAUAAUAAGUAUGUGUAACAAAACAAAAAUAUGUUAUUAUAAAUGCUGACAGACAACCAAAGCAUACGGAAAAGACAUGCCCACAGCUGUGUUAUGUACAUGAAAGGGAGAAAAAGGUUAAAACAAUAAAAAAAUUUAACCCUGUAUACCCAAAGGGUUGUUGUACCGUA